GACGAACGCUGGCGGCGUGCUUAACACAUGCAAGUCGAACGGAAAGGCCCUGCUUUUGUGGGGUGCUCGAGUGGCGAACGGGUGAGUAACACGUGAGUAACCUGCCCUUGACUUUGGGAUAACUUCAGGAAACUGGGGCUAAUACCGGAUAGGAGCUCCUGCUGCAUGGUGGGGGUUGGAAAGUUUCGGCGGUUGGGGAUGGACUCGCGGCUUAUCAGCUUGUUGGUGGGGUAGUGGCUUACCACGGCUUUGACGGGUAGCCGGCCUGAGAGGGUGACCGGCCACAUUGGGACUGAGAUACGGCCCAGACUCCUACGGGAGGCAGCAGUGGGGAAUAUUGCACAAUGGGCGGAAGCCUGAUGCAGCAACGCCGCGUGCGGGAUGACGGCCUUCGGGUUGUAAACCGCUUUCGCCUGUGACGAAGCGUGAGUGACGGUAAUGGGUAAAGAAGCACCAGCUAACUACGUG
This 468-nucleotide ribosomal RNA is filed under the name uncultured bacterium. RNAcentral's name for it is "partial 16S ribosomal RNA". It matches the Rfam family "Bacterial small subunit ribosomal RNA", at positions 28 to 507 of the family's 1533-position model. The record is from RNAcentral.